AUCCCUGUGAGAAUGCCCUUCCAUUUCCUUCCGAAAUAAAGGAGCAGGCAUUAGGCACAACCUUGGUUAGCCCACAAUGCCUUGUUUAGCCACACCCCCAAGGGAACCCAGCAGUAAUCAACAUUAAGCAAUAAGUGCAAACUUGACUUAGUUACACACCAAGAGAGCCGGUAAAACUCGUGCCAGCCACCGCGGUUAUACGAGAGGCUCAAGUUGACAAACACCGGCAAAAAACGUGGCCUAUAAAGUAUUACACUAAAGCUAAACUUCUUCAAGGCUGUUAUACGCAUUCGAAGAAAAGAGAAUCUUCCACGAAAGUGGCUUUAAAUAAUAUCACCCACGAAAGCUAGGAAACAAACUGGGAUUAGAUACCCCACUAUGCCUAGCCCUAAACACAAGUGAAUGUCCUCACCUUUGCUUGCCAGGGUAUUACGAGCUCCAGCUUAAAAUUCAAGGGACUUGGCGGUGCUUUAGAUCCACCUAGAGGAGCCUGUUCUGUAACCGAUAACCCCCGCUUAACCUCACCCUCUUUUGUCACUCCCGCCUAUAUACCGCCGUCGUCAGCUUACCCCACAAGGGAUCAAUAGUGAGCUUAACUGGCACAGCCCAGAACGCCAGGUCCAGGUGUAGCGUAUGAGAGGGGAAGAAAUGGGCUACAUUCACUGUACCAGUGAAAACGAAUAAUACUUUGAAACAAGUACUUAAAGGAGGAUUUAGCAGUAAGAAAGGAGCAGAGUGCCAUUCUGAAACUGGCCCUGAAGCGCGCACAUACCGCCCGUCACUCUCUCCAGUUGGAUGGUGUCUAAUUUAAGAUAAACACAAAACUUUAAACAAAGGAGAGGAAAGUCGUAACAUGGUAAGUGUACCGGAAGGUGCACUUGGAAAAAU
Molecule: non-coding RNA, 888 nt
Filed under: Tridentiger barbatus (Shokihaze gobi)
Lineage: Eukaryota; Metazoa; Chordata; Actinopteri; Gobiiformes; Gobiidae
Description: partial 12S ribosomal RNA
Rfam family: Bacterial small subunit ribosomal RNA
Source: RNAcentral